GACGAACGCUGGCGGCGUGCUUAACACAUGCAAGUCGAACGGAAAGGCCCUGCUUUUGUGGUGUGCUCGAGUGGCGAACGGGUGAGUAACACGUGAGUAACCUGCCCUUGACUUUGGGAUAACUUCAGGAAACUGGGGCUAAUACCGGAUAGGAGCUCCUGCUGCAUGGUGGGGGUUGGAAAGUUUCGGCGGUUGGGGAUGGACUCGCGGCUUAUCAGCUUGUUGGUGGGGUAGUGGCUUACCAAGGCUUUGACGGGUAGCCGGCCUGGGGGGGUGACCGGCAACAUUGGGACUGAGAUACGGCCCAGACUCCUACGGGAGGCAGCAGUGGGGAAUAUUGCACAAUGGGCGGAAGCCUGUUGCAGCAACGCCGCGUGCGGGAUGACGGCCUUCGGGUUGUAAACCGCUUUCGCCUGUGACGAAGCGUGAGUGACGGUAAUGGGUAAAGAAGCACCGGCUAACUACGUG
RNAcentral lists this ribosomal RNA (468 nucleotides) under uncultured bacterium. Its description in RNAcentral is "partial 16S ribosomal RNA". It matches the Rfam family "Bacterial small subunit ribosomal RNA", at positions 28 to 507 of the family's 1533-position model. The record is from RNAcentral.